This is an RNA transcript of Orcinus orca (killer whale), 16036 nucleotides long. It is a transcript of the gene named PWWP domain containing 2B, with no coding region annotated. The record is from RefSeq and is a predicted model, not a curated record. Lineage: Eukaryota; Metazoa; Chordata; Mammalia; Artiodactyla; Delphinidae. The transcript is spliced from 3 exons.
CGAGGAGAGGGGAAGACACCCUGGAGCCGGGAGGGGCAGGCGCCCCGGGUGGACCCCCGGCUGGAGAGGAGGGGGUCCUUGGACCCGGGGCCGGGGCAGUUCUCCAGGCUCCGGCUCCCAGGUCCUCUACGCGGGCGCUCGCGGCCAGCGUCGCCGGGGGUGGAGCGCGGCCCUGCUCCAUCCUGCCCCAUCCUGACCGUUCGGUGGGGCUCCGCAGUGCGUCUCCACGCCGAGUGUGGAGGCCGCACGGCCCGGCGCGCGUCUGUGGGCGCGGGUGCCCCGCGCGCCCCUCCCGGCGCCCCCGGCCCGCUCGCGGAGGCCGCCCCGAGCGGAGCUUUGUGACGUCAGGCGGCCGGCGGGCCGCGUCACGCGCGGGGCUGACCCGGCGCGGGGCGGGGGCCGGGCCGGGACGCGGAGCAUGGAGCCGCGGGCCGGCUGCCGGCUGCCCGUGCGGGUGGAGCAGGUCGUCAACGGCGCGCUGCUGGUCACCGUGAGCUGCGGCGAGCGCAGCUUCGCCGGGAUCCUGCUGGACUGCACGAAAAAGUCUGGCCUCUUCGGCCUGCCCCCGUCAGCUCCGCCGCCCCAGGCCCAGGACCCGCCUGUCAACGGCUGCCACGGGCCGGCCCCCACGGAGGGCGACACAGAGGCGAUGCAGCUGGGGACAGGCCCCCCGCCACCUCCCAGUGGGGACCAGGCCCCUGGGACCGCCAGCCCCGAGCCGCCCCUGCUGCCCGCCGGAAGCCUGCCCCCGUUCCCGCCCUAUUUUGAAGGCGCCCCCUUCCCUCCCCCGCUCUGGCUGAGGAACACGUACCGGCAGUGGGUGCCGCAGCCGCCCCCCCGGGGCAUCAAGAGGACACGGAGGCGCCUGUCCCGCAACCGCGACCCUGGCCACCUGGCCCUGAGUCCCAUCCGCCUGCGGCCCCGCCAGGUGCUCUGCGAGAAAUGCAAGAGCACCCUGAGCCCCCCAGAGGCCAGCCCCGGCCCCCCGGCCCCCCCACAGCCGCGCAGGGAGCCCCGAAAGCCCGAGGACCCCAACGGUGGGGGUGACACCACCGCCAAGAGGAGGAAGAGGGAGAGGCGGCAGGAGGCACGGGCCCGGGUCCCCCGGAGCCCGGUCAUCAAGAUCUCCUACAGCACGCCCCAGGGCACCGGCGAGGUGGUGGAGAUCCCCUCCCGCGUGCACGGCUCGCUGGAGCCCUUCUGCCCCCCUCAGGCCCCGCCCGGAGGCCCGGACCCCGAGGCGCCUGCCUCCAUCCCCAAGCUGAAGCUGACACGGCCCCUGCCCCCCAGCGCUGCCCCGCCGCCCCCCAAGAUCCGCCUGAAGCCCCACCGCCCGGGGGCUGGCGAGCAGGAGCCCGUCUACAAGGCCGAGCUGGUGGAGGAGCUCAAGGGCUGUGGCCGCGGCCCCCGGGCCGGCUCACCCGCGCCCCUGGCUGACGGCUCUGCCCGCUCUGGGCUGGCGGACUCGUCUUCUGGAAGUUCCGGCGAGGACGACGACUGCAAGGGGUGUCCCCGAGGCGAACACGGGCGUGACGGCCUGGCUUUUCUCGCCGCCUGCCCCCGGAGAACUGGCUGUGCCAGCGUGUCGGUGUGCAGCAGCGACAGCCUGGACGAGUCCAAAUCGUCCAGCUCGGAAGUGACGUCACCAGACAUGUGUGACCUCUCGUCUGGCGACGGUGCGUCUGUGCCGGCCUCGUCCAAGGACGCGCGGCCGACGGUCCCACCCCUGACGGUCAGGCUGCACACGCAGAGCAUCUCCAAGUGCGUUACUGAGGAUGGAAGGACCGUGGCCGUAGGGGACAUCGUGUGGGGUAAGGUUCAUGGUUUUCCCUGGUGGCCAGCACGUGUCCUGGACAUCAGUCUUAGCCAGAAGGAGGACGGCGAGCCCUCCUGGCAAGAAGCGAAAGUCUCAUGGUUUGGUUCUCCAACUACAUCGUUCUUGUCUAUUUCAAAACUCUCCCCUUUCUCUGAAUUUUUCAAACUGAGAUUUAACCGUAAGAAGAAGGGGAUGUAUCGGAAAGCUAUAACAGAGGCUGCCAAUGCCGCCCGACACGUGGCCCCGGAAAUAAGGGAGCUCUUAACCCAGUUUGAAACGUAACUCGGGUUCCGACCAGGUGAGUGUGUGCGCGGAGGGCGGCCUCUCUCUGGCCGUCCCAAGCCCGUGUCUGCAUCUGGGCUGUCCCUCCGCCCGGGGCCUCGGUGAGCCAGGGGGACGUGGACGCCCCUGGCCAUCUGGCUCGCUGCUCCGAAGGGGGCCGUCUGGACAAUCGCCCCGCUUGCUGGCAACAUUGUCCAGCGUUUUGAUUCACAGAAGAGGUGCUUUCAAAGCAGGCGAGUCGUCAGCCACCUGUUCAGAGAACAGAGCUAGUUUGUGUUUUGCGGCCAUUUUGCAAAGGACCGUAAAAGGUCUCCUUGCUCUUUUCGUUUGCCUUUGGAGAAAGGAGAGGGUUUCAAAGGUGGCGGCUCUGACUGAGGGGGCGGUGGUGAGCGCAGUGGGGGGCUUUCUCUGUUACUCACUCUUCCCAGGCUGCAGCCGGGGCCUCCCUCCCUCCCCUCCCCAGCCUCCUGCUUGCAGGUGCGUCCAGGGGUCUGACUUUGCCCGAAGGAGGAAAGUCACCGAGCUGCCUGCCCUCAGAGGUAGCGCCUACGGCCCAGCGCUGCUCUGCUGCUGCCAGUGGGGGCUCCCCUCUGUCAGCCGGCACGUGGGUCCUGGACAUUGGUGCCCGGGGGCUCCAGGCUCCCGGUGGCGGGGCCGGUGCUCUGGGAUCUGUCCCUGGGCCAGUGCCUCGCCCUCUGUCUCUGCCCCCAGGAGACCUUUGUAGGAUCCCAGCCACAGGCCUUAUGGAGCCUCUGUGGGGUUGGGGGUGUCACCACCUGGGGUUGGAAGCCUCACCUUGCGCAGUUGCCGUGUCACCAGGUGGGGUGGGGCAUCACCGUGUGGCGUGUCUGGCGGGGUGUCCGGAAACGGCCGAGGGGCUGAGGGCGUCUGCCAUGAGCUUCCCCUGGGCCCCGAGGUGCAGGGAGAUGUGGGUGUGCUCUCAUCUGGUGGCUGCCACCAGCUCUGGCCUGGGCAGCGGGGUGUGUCCAGCGGGUCACUGGCGCUGGUGGCCACUCUUCCCAGGUCUGACUGCCCCCUCUGUCCUCCCCUGGUUGGUCCCGGGCAGGCCAUGGUCCCCCGAGGCUCCAGGCCGCCUGGGUGGACCAGAGGGGACAUGACAGGGUCCCCUGUGAGGGGCAGCCUGUGGGGUCAGUGCUCUUCCUGGCCCAGUGGCCUCGUGCUCACGCCCACAGAAGCAGACGGCAUGGCACGGGGCUGGCCCGGAGGACGAGCUGGGCCUCUGCCUUCACCUCCGGACCCUCGGGUGACCUUGUGUGGCCUGGCUGCCCUGCUCACCCACCUGUCUGUGCCAGUUUCCCGGGUGACGUGAGUUUUCAGGGCUGGGCAAGCCCAGCUCACGUGGCUGGGGAGGGGCUUUGUGGAGUGCUGGUGCCCGCUCCCUGCUGUGCCGGGUCCAGCGGGGUCCUGAAGAAGCAGUCAUGAGGGGCACGUCUGGGCCGGGGUCCCUGCCGGGGCUCCUGAGGCCUUGUCCCCACCCCUCCCCCACCUGCUUCCCACGUCACCUCCAGCAUGGCUCCCCGGAUUCCGGGCACGAACUUCUCCUGUUGGGAACCAGGCACAUCCCCCGUCAGUUCUGGCCUUCGUGUUGGGGCGUGGGCGUGGCACCGACCUGGGGGCAUCCAGGCAGCUAGGGUCUCAGGUGAGGGCGGCCAGCUCACCUGAGGGGCAGCGGUCCAGAGAGAGUCCAGAUGCCCUGGCAUCGGGCUUCCUAGGGCAUCUCCCUGCUGUGGCCAGGCUGAGGGACAGCCCUGGCUGUGGCCACGUCCGCUGGCCUGGGGACCACCGGGGAUGGGGGGGCCCUGCCUCUCUCUGUGCCCUUCUGCUCCUGGCCCUGCCCCUCUGCUCACAGGGCCCAGCCGUCUUUGGCCUGGUGUCAGGCAGCUUGCCCACGUGCCCCUGCUGUGGGCAGAGGCAGCCCCGUGGGUUCAGGGCUCUGUAUCAGGAAGCAGAGGAGGAAUCCCGCCGGACGGGUUUGCCUGCUGCGGGGCCUGUGCCCCUGCCCCCGCGGGGUGUGGGGCUUUGGGGGCACGGCGGGGCGGCCUGGAUCCUCUCGGCGCCAAAGCACCAAUGGUUUAGGCUGAUGGGCUUCUGGGUUUUGUUUCUUGAGGCUUAAAGACUGAGCUGAGGUUGUGCCAGCCAGUGGCUGAUCUGCUGGCGUCAGCAAGCCUGGGCCUCGUGCUCAGGUGGGGUCCGCGGUCUCCUGGUGGACAAGUUUGCUUGCAGGUGUCAAGUGUCUGAGGAGCAGCCGUCCAGGCUGCUCCUUGCAGGGGAAGCAGGGGACUGCCCUCACCGGGGAAGGUGUGUCAGGAGAGUCUCAGCAGAUGUGGGGCUGGGCCCCUUCCACGGGCGUGUGCCCAGCACCUCUUCCCCGAGAGACUCUGCCCCCUUUGCAGGGCUGCUGGAGGCUCGGCUAAGAGGUGGGUGCCCACGCGGACGUUGUGAGAGUUGCGGAGCCGGCCUGGGGCCUGGCGGCCAGGGCGCUGGGGAGAGGCCAGUGGGGCUGGCUGGGCACAGGGGCUCUGAGCAGGCACCACCCCCAGGGUGCUCGUGUGCCCCGUUGGGGCGCAUCUCCCGAGGGCUCCGGGCCCUGCCCUGGCCCCAGCAGGCUGGCGACUCUGAGCCCCCGUUUCCCCAUCUGUCUCCGGGUAGGGGGGGAGUGAGGGGACUUGUCUGCAGCCGGCUUUCCAGCUCUGCUUUCCCGGGGGUCCUCCCAUGUCCCCCCGGGGUGGGGCCGGGGUCGUGCUCCUGACUGGAUGGGCUGGGCAACUCCUGCUGCCCACUGGUCAGGGGGGCGAGGGUCCUGCAGGGGGGACAGGGAUGCCCUGAGUGCGGGGCUGGCCCCCCAACCUGACAGGUGACAGCGACUCCUCCCGGGGGUGGUGUGACCCCAGGCCUCUUCCUCUCAGACCCGGUUACGUGCCUCUUCUCUCCCCACCCACCCACCCACCAAGGGGUCGGCCUACCGAGGACUGAAUGCUCUGCUGGAUGGGGGACAGAAGUGUGCACAGUCACCGAGGCCUUUGUCUGGGGGGCUGGGGAGAGGGCUGUGACUCAGAGUCCCCAGAUUCGUGCAUAAUCACACACAGGAAUGUGCUGAGGGGGGACAAGGGCCUCCCAGCAGAGUGUCUGGUGAGGAAGCUGAUUUGGACUGGGGAUCUGGGAAGGCUUCCUGGAGGAGGUGACAUAUAGCUGAGAUUAGAACAGUGGGCUAAUCAUGAGCUAAUAGGGUGGGGAUGAGCAUCUGAGGAUGCAAAAGGAGCAGCACGUGCUGGGGCCCAUGGCAGAAGGAAGGUGGGCAUGUCCUUAGGGGUGGGGAGAGGCCCAGUGUGGGCCUGGUGGCCUGAGGCCCCAGCUGUGGCCUUAUCCUCAGAGUAGGGGUGCCAUGGGAGAACUUCAAGCAGAGGGUGGAUGGUCCUGUGCUCUGGGACAGCAGUGUGAUGGGGGCCGGAGGCUGGAAGGAUGUGCCAGAGGACGGAGGCUCAAACAAGGAUGGGGCGUCAGAGGGCCACAGGGAGCAGGGGGCAGAGGCCCAGGGGACGGGCUGGGCUGCUGGGAACUCGGGGACCGCCAUGCCCCUCGCCGGCCGUGGAGGGGGUACUCCGGUUGCCGGCAUGUGAACGCCUGGGUCUCAGCUGGGAGGAGUCUCGGGGUCCAGCCUCAGAGGAGCCUUGGGGCCGAGUGGUGGAUUCAUUGGAUGACAUGGGUGAGGACGAGGCCGUGGGUGAGCACAGAUGGGCUGGGGCCUCGCCCAGCCCGCGGGCACCACCCAGGUGAGGGCAGGUGGUGAUGGAGCCGUCCGUUACCAGGUGCACGGUCACUGGGAACGCACCCCAAGGGCCUGGGAGGUGCGGUGACGGGUGCUUCGGUGUCCUGGGAGCCGUGACAGCUCAGAAUGCCACCCAAUGUCCCAGCCUCUCAGCCCAGUGGGAAAUUCACAGGCCCCGUGUGAGCUGGGAGGGUCCAGGGCUGGGGCCCAACCUCCCGUGGAACCGCAGGGGCCCUGGCCCCUUCCCUUCCUGCCCGAGUGGCCGGGCCGCUGGCCAGCAGGGAACUUUCGGGGCUCACUCCGCGGGCAGCUCCGAGCGCUGGGUUUUUUGGUUUCUCUGAGUGGAGGGCACCCUUGGGGUGGGCCUCGUCCCCUAUGAAACUUCCUGUGGCGCUGGUACAAAUGACCUCACGCUGGGCAUUUGGAAACAACAGAAAUCUCUUCCUAUGGUUCUGGAGGCCAGAAGCCCGAAGUCAAGGUGCCGGCAGGGCUGUGCUGCCUCCGAGGCUCCAGGGGAGGGUCCUUCCUGCCUCUUCCAGCUCCUGGGGGCUCGGGCGCUCCCGGGCCUGUGGCCGCAUCAUGCAGCCUCUGCCUGCCCGGUGACGGGGGCCUCUCUGCUGUGACGCGUCCUCCCUGCCGUCCUCCAUGAGGACCCUGUGAGGCGUUUAUGGGCCACCUGCUUAGUGCAGCCUGAUCUGCUCAUCUCAAAGCCCUCAUUCCAUCACACUGGCCACACCUGUCCCAUGGAAGGUGACGGCCCGGGUUCCAUGGUCGGGGCCCCACUCGCCUGCUGCGUCCUCUGCCCACUCGGCAGGCCCGUAUGGGUCCACGCACAGCACGUGCGGGGAGGCCGUGCACGGAGGCCGUGCACACGGGCCAGCGGCGGCACCAGGGCCGCUUUCGGCUUCCCAAGGUGACUCUCCUGGGAAACAGAGACAUCCGCGGGAAGCCAGCCCGGACCCGUGCUGCCCAGCUGUGGCGGCCGCCCGCCCCGCCCCCCCGGGAGUGCUGACUCGGCGCCCAGUUCCCCAGCGGAGGCGUCCAGAUCCCGUCUCCAGGGGCCACUUCCCUUCUGUGCCUCUUCUAGAACGGUAUCCUCAAGGCGAAUGCCCCAAACGGGCUUUUCUCUCUUCCAGUGCUAAAUAAAGAUGUACUUCUGCUUCUCAGCUGACUUCCGCGUUGCUUUCAGGGAACUCAGGUCCUCUGUGAGGGUUGUAAUUAUUUUGUUCCAGAGGAAACUAAGGCCUGUAAUUCCGAGGCUGCUGCAGGGGCUCAGGCCCCGCCCCCUCCCCGCCGCGUCCCCAGGUGGGUGCACCGGGACACAGGCCCGGUGUGUGCACUUGCUCUGCUGGGGUCCCUGGUGGGGGUGGGGACUUCUCCCAGCCGAGGGGAGGGGCUGCGGGCCCCCUGGGCUGGGCCUUCCAGGCCCCACGCUGCCCCUCCCACUGGUGAGAUGCCUUAACCACUCUUGGCCAGGGGGCCCCACUGCCAGCUCCAAGUACUCGUCCCUGUUCCUGUCCUGCUUCUUCUCCACUGGACGGAGCACCCACCCCAAGGUAGGAGGUCCCAGAGCACACGGGGAGGGGCCUGAGCUCUGCACUCCUGCGCCGGGGGACUGGGGUGCGACCCCUCCGUGGGACGGUGGCCCCUCAGCUGCCUGUCGGGAGGCCCUUCUGUCCUGGUGACCUGAUCAGGCCGUCCUGCAGUAACACUUUGGUCACCUUUAGAUGAGCUCUUACAGAACAUAUGGACGCGCGUCUGAGUCGGUUCCCGGCACCCUCCGGAGUGACCAGCGUGUCUGCCAUAAACAUGGUGGACACCUCUCAGUCCAGGUGAAUGUCCUUUUUGACGCCGGAUCGUCCCGUUGUUGGCCGUGGGCUCAUCGGCUCAUGAGUCCGCCUGACGACCACGGGGUCUCUGGCAGCGGCCUUGCUUUCUGCCAGGACUCGGGAUUCUGUGUCACCGUGGGCAUUUCUGGCCCAGACCCAGGGUCAGCCGUUUCCCGAGGAGUCCCGGGUCCUCUCAAGGGGACUGGUACCCAGCCGCCAUCCUGCCUGGGUGCAAGGCGUGCUGGCUGCCGGGGUCACACUGUUUCCAGGUGGUUUCUUAGCCUUUGCAGUUAACAGACCUUGGAAUUUCUUUCAGGAGAAAAGAAAUCAUGACUUCACACUGAUUUUUCUAAUUCAGAUUUUAUACUUUUUCAACUUUUAUAUUCACAUCUCUCUCUCCUUAUACUGAAGAUCUUGGUUCUUAGUGAUAUUAACACAAUAAUUUUACAUGUAAAAGUUAAUAUAUGUAAAAUAUUUAAUAUAUGUAGAGUCCAUCACGUAUGUAAUCGUUUUAGACAGUGAUGCCACCAGCUCCCCCGUGGGCCAGCGCCAAGCUUUGCUUGCAGGCCUUUGGUCCCCGGGCUCUGGCUUUUUGGGGGGCAUGUCAAAUUCCUGUUCCAGAGUUAUCGAGACAGCGCCACCUCCGCGGUUGUCAUGACCUCAGGCACCGUUAGGGUCACUGAGCUCCUUUUUUCGUUCCAUCUGUAGAGAUUCCUUUACAUUUUGAUUCCGUGCACAUUUCCAGGGGGUCCCAAGUCAGCCUGAGCAUAUCGUCCCGGCCCCUCCGUGCUGACCUCCUCCUGCAGGCCUCCGUUCUGCUGUGUUCGCUUGUCCUUGUGUUUGCAACAGAAGCAGACACGCAGGGCGCCCCUCCCAGCUCUCGGCUCCGUGUGGCAGAGCUGCAGUGCCGCCCACUCUGUGCCCAGUGGCCACCUCCUCAGGGACUCUCUCCUGAGCACCCCGUGUACGGCUGUGACCCCAAGGAACCCCCAGAGCUUGGGAUUCUCCAUCCCAGUAUCUCUGUUUGUCACGGCUCCUUCACAACCCACUCCUUCGUUCUUUGCUGUUCUGUUUGGGGUCUCCCCUUUGAGGAAGUAAGUUCCUGCACACCCAGACCCACGCGCUGCCUGGCACACGGUGACGCACACGGGGGCCCAGCCUGCUGGGGGCCUGGGCGCAGCCCUCCUCCGCCCUGCCCUGCGCCAGGUUCACGGCACUCUGCACGCCGGGCUGCAUCGCCGGGAGGGGGCCCAUGGUGCCCUGUCCCACAGGUGGGGAGACUGGCCCCCAGGGAGGCACAGCUAGGGUUUGCUCCCAGGCCAGGCUCUCCCCUGUGCAUCCGGCAGCCCCUGGCCCUGGGGAGGCAGAGCCGGAUGCCUGACGCGUGCCUGCCCCCCCCGCCCUCAGCACCUCGGGCGAGGGGAGAUGCUCCCCAGCUGUGGAGGAAGGGGCCUGGGAGGAUGGCCUGGCUCCGGGCGGGUUGGCAUCUGCCCCAUCAUGCCUCUGGGUUAAGAACCCUGAGCUGGAGGUGUCCACACCCGGUGUACACAGCAGAUCUGGAUGGAGGGGGCGGUGCUGGCUGGAAGGAGGGGCUGCCUGGGCCUCUGGAACAGGAGGUGGGCCACGUGUCCCCUCCACGUGUAUCCUGGGGAAAUGUGGGCCACGUGUCAACCCCUGUGUAUCCUGGGGAAACGACGUCAACAACAGCUCUCCAGCGCUCCAUCCCGGAGGAUCUGGCGUUCCUGGGAACUGUCCCCUUCCCCUCCCUGUGUCUGGGCCAGGGUCUCACCAGACCUGGUGCAGUCUGGGUGUGGCUGAAGGGGCCGCGGGACCAAGCGGGUGACUGGGGAGCUGGGUGUUCGGGGCCAUGGCCAGCAGACCUGGUGCAGUCUGGGUGUGGCUGAAGGGGCCGCGGGACCAGGCGGGUGACUGGGGAGCUGGGUGUUCGGGGCCAUGGCCAGCGCCUUGCUGGGCUCCGCUGGGUUGAGGGAGCGGUUUUCCUGAGCCACGCUGGAUGGCCCGGCGUGCGUGGCCUGUGGAAGGUUGUGCGCCUGCAGGGCUGCCGUGGGCCGCCUCCCCAGGUGGCGUCGGCGAUGCCGGGCCGCAGCUGCCUCCCUUUGCUUCCUUCUUCUUGAGGCUCCACGGUUCCCACUUCCAGCGGUGGCUGCUUUGUUUCUUUCUCAUGAGACGCUGAUGUCACCGCAUUUCGGAAGGCUGUGGUUUGGGGAACAGGCCUUGUCCGUCUGGUCUUGUGCUGUGCUCAGCCGGCCUGGUCAUCAUCCCGCAACCCAGGCCCUGUCGUGGAGGGAGGGGAGCCCCCCAUCCCCCCAUCUUCUCAACAGGCCCCCGGUCUGCAGGCAGCUUAGCCCCAUGAGGGAGCUGAGCCCAGGGCGUCUGACCGUCCUGUGUGGGGAAUGGGCUGGGGGCCGCUUUCCAGGCUGGAGACCCCAGGUUGGGAUGUACUGCUGGGAGCCCAGGGUGGUGUGGCCUCUGCCCCACGGCGCCCUCACGGGGAGACCCGGCUCAUGUGUUGCUCAUGAGGUGCAUUGGCGUGGCCCCGUGCCGGAGGCGCCCUCCCGCUGGGUGCCCUGGUGCCUGGAAGCUUCCCGGUUAACCUGCUCCCGGCAGGCAGGAAGCGGUGGGGUCCGCCGGGGGGAGCCACGUUCGGUGCAGGUGGCGUUCGCCUCCCAGUUCGAGGGGCCUCUGGCAUCGUGGCUCCCCCCUCGGACGCCUGGGCCCCCGGGCAGCUGUGGGACCGCGUGGCCUGCCCCUUCCGGUCAGGGCUGGGGCGGACCUGAUCCCUGGGGUGCUGGCCACGGGAGGCAGGGGACACUGGGGCGUCGGGGGGCCCUUCCAGGACGCAGGCUAGAGGGAGUGCCACCUCCGGGGAUGUGAGGGCUGGAGGGACCUCCGGGCCAGGACUGCGCUGAGGGCACUGGGGCGAUUCUUGGGGAGGGAGGAACUGGGGGGAAGGGGUGAGCAAGCCUUGCUGGGCAGUGGAGUUGGUUCCUAGCCAGUGGGUGUCUUCCUGCUGGGAAGAAAAAUGAGCUUCUCUCUACAGGACCACCAGCGGCAGCCUUUUGCCGUGAUCUGUGCCCUUCCCAUAGUUUCUAAGUGGGGUGGGGGACAGCAGGGCUGGGGCGCUCUGGGGUCAGCUCAGGCUGUCGCGCUGAAGGGACAGGGACCACCCCUCCCAGAGGGAACGUCCCAUUAUUAAAGAGGAGCCGGUGUGUCCCAGGCAGAGGGUCUGUCUUAGUCUCAGGGGCAUUUCCCUGGCUGAUCAGUCAAGAAGAAAGUACAGAGAAAGUCCGGGUUUGUCCCCAGAGUUAUGAGAACCCCUGCUGUCCUCACAGAGGCCCGGGCCAGCCUGAGGGCUUCCGAGAGCCACCCGCUGGCUGCCCCAGGCAGGGAGGUGGGACAGCCACGGAGUCAAGACCCAUCCCCCUGGGGCCUCUGCAUCGGCGUUUCUCCUGCCUGACCACCAGGGCUUUGGUCAUCGCUGCUGUCCUACGUCCGCGUCCUCUCCGUGCCCCUCACCGCCCCUCCUUGCCUCUCCUGGUGACUCGGGGGGUGGGAGGGCCCGGCAGCCACCACAGGCAGUGAGGACGCUGCCUGGUGUCCGCCCUGUCCUGGGGCACCUGCAGAGAGGAGACUACCAGCAUCAGGGAGGGCCUGUCCCCAGGACUGGCAUUUGGAGAGGGUAUUUGGCGGCUCAGAGAGUUUGGGCCGGAGGCGGUUGGGAAUUCGAGAGCAAGGUCCAGGAUUUUGUUUUAUGGUUUCCGUCUUUUUCUUUGCCAAGGGCAGUGUCCCCGGAAACGUGCUGCUGGCAGACACUGCAGAGCCUUUCCUGGAGCCGACCGUCUGCCCAGCCCAGGGUGCUCCCGGAGGGGGGCAGCCUGUCUCAGGGACUGAUGGGCAAGACAGACCCGGCUGUGGGUACUGGGCCCCGGGUCCGGGAUCUGGUCCUGGGUUGCGGAGGGCUCUGGGCCCCGGGUCCGGGUGUGGCUUAGUGGGCGUCAUGCCCAGAAGCUCCUGCUCUCAGGGGUGCCCUGAGACUGGGACCCGCCGCCCUGGGUGGACGAGUCUCCUUAGCGGGGCCUUAGCGCUACACUCAGGACUUAGAGGUCUUUCCCGUGUUUGCUCAGGGUCCUGCCCGGGCCACAUGCCUUGCAUCCCUCUGGAGAUGGGUCUGGAGCCCCCAGCCCUCUCCAUCUGAUGCUGAGCUGCUCCUUCAGACCGGCCUGGGGGCCGUGACCGAGCUCCGAGGCGAUGGGGAAGCAUGGGGCGGGGGGGAGGGUGGCCAGAGAGGGGUCCCUCCUGCACACCCCAAGUCGGGCUCCUGGCCGGGAGCUUUCCUUGGAGGCUUGGGGGAGGAGGAUGACAGGUCAGAGCCCGAUGACCGGCUGCGCCGGGGCGAGUGUGCGGUCCAGCUUGCUGUGGUCACCACUGGUGUUUCUUUCCUGGUCAUUGGAAUCCUGGGCGCUUUGGAUAAGGAGCAGGGCGGCGGCUCCCCUCCCCCACCUGCCAGCCGGGCCGCUGGGCCGCGGGGUCACCGCUUUCAGACCUGGGCAGCAACAGUGACGGAAGAGGACCCCUGCGCUGAGGCUUCGCCAGCCCCUCCGCCGAUGCAGGGCUCAGGGCCCACAGGCAGCCUCGGGGAUGGUGGAAAGCGUUUGCAUUUCUCUGUGCAGAUGCAGCUCCUGGAUUCUAUAUUUUAAAAAUAAGUGGAAUGGGCUUCCCUGGUGGCGCAGUGGUUGAGAGUCCGCCUGCCGAUGCAGGGGACACGGGUUCGUGCCCCGGUCCGGGAAGAUCCCACAUGCUGUGGAGCGGCUGGGCCCGUGAGCCAUGGCCGCUGAGCCUGCGCGUCCGGAGCCUGUGCUCCGCAAUGGGAGAGGCCACAGCGGUGAGAGGCCCGCGCACCACAAAAAAAAAUAAAUAAAUAAGUGGAAAAAGGCUUUGGUUCCUAUUUCACAUUACAGUAGGAUGUUCCUGAACACGAUAUCUUUCAAUUGAGUUUUUAUUUGUAGCAACGUUACAUAUGCUUAUGCUUUGAAAGCCCACUAGUAACAUGAAACGUGUAAUGAAAGGAUUUCUCUGCACAUUCCUACCCUUAUCUUGCUGUUUCUUCUUUCAUGAUUUCUCAGCCGAAGCCUUCUUUAUGGACUUUUUUCCUGUGGAAAAGGAAGAUUUUGCAACCUCAUAACACCCCCUUUUCCUGCCACACAAACACACAAACAUGAUUUCUGGCUAAAUCAGGAUUGUGUUGAUAUUAAAAACUGCAGCUUAGGGGCUUCCCUGGUGGUCCAGUGGUUAAGACUUCGCCUUCCAAUGCAGGUUCGAUCCGUGGUCGGGGAGCUAAGAUCCCACGUGCCACGUGGCCAGAAAAAAAAACCAAAACAUAAAAAAAGAAGCACUAUUGUAACAAAUUCAAUAAAGACUUUAAAAAUGGUCGACAUCAAAAAAGAAAUCUAGGGGGCUUCCCUGGUGGCACAGUGGUUGAGAGUCCGCCUGCCGAUGCAGGGGACACGGGCUCGUGCCCCGGUCCGGGAAGAUCCCACAUGCCGCGGAGCGGCUGGGCCCGUGAGCCAUGGCCGCUGAGCCUGCGCGUCCGGAGCCUGUGCUCCGCAACGGGAGAGGCCACAGCAGCGAGAGGCCCGCGUACCGCAAAAAAAGAAAUCUAAAAAAAAUUGUAGCUUAUCCACGUAGAUACUUAUGAAUAUAUUUUGUUUUUCUUCAGCUCUGUUCUCUGCAGAGUUGAAUUUGCCUCAUUUGGGGUCGUUUAUGUAUAAUCAGUUAUUGGUUCCCAGGUCUCUGAGAGAAAUGGAACCUCUCAGUGCCUUCAGACCCGUAGGGUGUUUGUUUCAGUUUAUGGUCACUCUGUGAACGAACUUCUCCCAAACACAGUGACUUCAGGCACCUCUGCUUGGUCAUUUCUCACGACUGUGUGCGCUCCCGGCCAGUGGCGUCGGCCGGGCUGGAGUGGCCUCGCCUGCCCGAGGCCUCGGCCGGGGUGGCCGGCACCUCCCUUUGCAUACGCAUGCACGCACGCACGCACGCACACACACCCGGGCCCUUCACGUGGCUGGCGUGGCAGUCUCAGGGCAUUCGGGGUCUUGUCAUAGCAGCUCACGGCUUCCAAGACUAUAAAAGCAGACGCCCACUCUCGGGGCUGGGCCAGGCUCCGGCUAGCAUCUCUCCCUCCUCCUGUGCAGGAGCGCUGCCACCAGUGCGGGUACAACUCCCCUCCUGGGGGGGCAGCAGCCGGCUUUGUGGCCGGCAGCCCCUGUGCUGCGCCUGUUCUCACUGGACUCUAGGCUCCUGGCCUCUCCCUCCCCCUCCUUCCAGGCUCUCUCCUUCCCAGAGCCUCCUGUGACCGGCAGAGCUGCAGUGUGGGGAACACUUUCCCCCUGUUUUGGGGGACUUGAGGGGGGCUCCCCUCCCUGAGAGCCCACUGCUUUCUUUAGAGAGGGGUUGGCCCUGAGACACAGGGCUGAGAUGUCUGCUGUCCCUGGUCGAGGAUGACCACCUUGUGGUCAGAUGGGAGGUGGGGACAAGUCAGGAAGCAGGGCUAAAGCCUGGGCUCCCCACCAACCUGGGAGAGGAUUUUCUUGUCCAGGGUCUGCCCUCUGCCCCACCCCCACCCACCCCUGACCCCAAGGGGGUCUCUUUAAGCCAGGAGGGUGCAUCUGGUGGUGGGGUGGGGCUCCCAGCUGGGGGCGGGGCUCCAGGGGUGUCAAUCACUCCUCAUACUGGGGCCUUCUGAGCCUUGAGCCUGGGGCACGUGCACAGCCAUCAGCCCCCCAAACCCCGAGCCACUCCCGGCUGGCAGGACCCGGAACCGUUGGCCCGUCUUCAGCCCUUGUGUGCUGGGCCCAAGGCUGUGGGGCUGCAGGACAAGCCUGUGGUCUGGGUCCCUGGGCCACUGAGGAUCCUGCACCUUCCCCGGGCAGUUCAGGGCCCCUGGUAGGUAGGGUGGGCAUGGGGGGAUGCAGGGGUCAGACACCUGCCCCUGGGAGAGGGGCAGGGGCACCAAAGGGGGCGGGACUCCUGAGAUGGUGAGGGCUGGGUGAAGCUGAGGGAGAGACUCAGGACAGCUGGGUGGGCGCCCUGGCCCGGUGCUUGGACUCCGAGAGGCCUGCCCCUGGCACUGGACCCUGAGGUAACCUGUGUCCCUUUCUGCUUCCCCCCAGGUCGCAGACAAUGAGGGCAUGGCUGUUCCCUGCAGCUCCUGACUUCAGGGGUGUCCUCCGCAUCCCCGCUCCGUCCCAGGACCCUGCAAGCCUUCUGGCCGGCUGCAGGCGGAGCCCCGGCCCGCGGGCUCAGCCUGGUUCGAGGCCUCCGGGGGCAGCGGGUGCAUCUGGCCGCGAGGACAGACCGCCGGAGCGCUGCGACUCCUCUGGGCCAAAUGUGUUUAUUCCCCCGACGCAGACUUUAGCUUUUCUGGUUUGUGAAGGGCCAGAGCCCAGCAGCAGGGGUGGCCUCCGGGCUCAGGGCGCCCAGGGGAGCAGGGCCGCAUCACCUCCCCGCUGGCUUCGGGACAACCCAGCCCCGGGCGCAUGGGGUCUCUCUGCGCUCGACAACCGGCCGCCCCCCCACCCCCGCCCCCCUCCGUGUUUGUCCAGAGCGUGGGUGUCGCCGGGCUCCCCUCGCCAGCCCCAGGGCCACCCUGUCCCCCGUCCCGUGCGGAGGUGCUGGGGCUGCCACUCUGCAGUGAGACUUCAACGUAACAAGGAUGAAAACCUCGCCUGUGCUUUGUAAGAGCGCGUUCCGUACCCCUUUUUGUCACUCUGAAGACCAAAAAGCAAAAAGAAAGAUAAAGAAAACGAGUUCUGCUCUUGGUUUAAAUGUAAGAGAACAAAGGUCCGCGAGGAAGUCAUCGGGGCUCGGGCGCAUCUGCGGUGCACGAGGACCCCGGGGAAGCGCUUACCGCAUGGGCAGUGGCGGCUUUGAGGACGGGUCCUUGCGGUGCCCCUUGCCCGGCCCCCCUCAGGGCUCUCUGGCUGGCACGACCUUCCCAGGCAGGACGACGUCUCAGCAGGUGGAGAGUUUUGUUCUCGUUUCUCCCUGUGAAACCUCAGCUCCCUGGUUUCCUUGUCGGCUCCUUGAGAGCCGAGGGACAUCCCAGAGGGGACGGUGGUGCCUCUGCCUGUUCCUGGCUUUACUAGAACAUUCGUGGUGUCCCGCACCCAGCAGGACCUGCUCCUGGCCAGGCCGGAGGUCCUCUCCAGGAUGGGAGGGGGCGGGACUCCCCUCCCCGUGGGGCCUGGGGUUCUGGGCCUGACUCUUGGGUACGGGCAGCGGGAAGACGGUGGUUUUCAAACA